This 253-nucleotide ribosomal RNA is filed under the name uncultured prokaryote. Its description in RNAcentral is "partial 16S ribosomal RNA". It matches the Rfam family "Bacterial small subunit ribosomal RNA", at positions 525 to 777 of the family's 1533-position model. The record is from RNAcentral.
CCCUCUUUUUCGCGCUUUUUUCGGAAUUACUGGGCGUAAAGGGCGCGUAGGCGGCCUGCUAAGUCGGACGUGAAAUCCCUCGGCUCAACCGAGGAACUGCGUCCGAUACUGGUUGGCUUGAAUUCGGGAGAGGGAUGCGGAAUUCCAGGUGUAGCGGUGAAAUGCGUAGAUAUCGGGAGGAACAUCAGUGGCGAAGGCGGCUUACUGGAUCAACACUGACACUGAGGCACGAAAGCGUGGGUAGCAAACAGGA